GAUGAACGCUGGCGGCGUGCCUAAUACAUGCAAGUCGAGCGAACAGACGAGGAGCUUGCUCCUCUGACGUUAGCGGCGGACGGGUGAGUAACACGUGGAUAACCUACCUAUAAGACUGGGAUAACUUCGGGAAACCGGAGCUAAUACCGGAUAAUAUAUUGAACCGCAUGGUUCAAUAGUGAAAGACGGUUUUGCUGUCACUUAUAGAUGGAUCCGCGCCGCAUUAGCUAGUUGGUAAGGUAACGGCUUACCAAGGCGACGAUGCGUAGCCGACCUGAGAGGGUGAUCGGCCACACUGGAACUGAGACACGGUCCAGACUCCUACGGGAGGCAGCAGUAGGGAAUCUUCCGCAAUGGGCGAAAGCCUGACGGAGCUACGCCGCGUGAGUGAUGAAGGUCUUCGGAUCGUAAAACUCUGUUAUUAGGGAAGAACAAAUGUGUAAGUAACUAUGCACGUCUUGACGGUACCUAAUCAGAAAGCCACGGCUAACUACGUG
This 497-nucleotide ribosomal RNA is filed under the name uncultured bacterium. Its description in RNAcentral is "partial 16S ribosomal RNA". It matches the Rfam family "Bacterial small subunit ribosomal RNA", at positions 28 to 507 of the family's 1533-position model. The record is from RNAcentral.